UAGUGACGCGGACUGAUGGAUGUCCGUUCAAGCAGUGAGGCUGAUAUGUAGGCAAAUCCGCAUAUCGCAAGGCCAGGCUGUGAUGAGGAGCGAAAAUUGUAGUAGCGAAGGUCAUGAUUUCACACUGCCAAGAAAAGUCUCUAGCCAGGAAGCAGGUGCCCGUACCGUAAACCGACACAGGUGGGUGAGAAGAGAAUUCUAAGGCGCGCGGAAGAACUCUCGUUAAGGAACUCGGCAAAAUGACCCCGUAACUUCGGGAGAAGGGGUGCCCCGGUAGUGUGAAUAGCACGAGGGGGCCGCAGUGAAAAGGCCCAAGCGACUGUUUAGCAAAAACACAGGUCUGUGCGAAGCCGCAAGGCGAAGUAUACGGGCUGACGCCUGCCCGGUGCUGGAAGGUUAAGGGGAGUGGUUAGCGCAAGCGAAGCUAUGAACCGAAGCCCCAGUAAACGGCGGCCGUAACUAUAACGGUCCUAAGGUAGCGAAAUUCCUUGUCAGGUAAAUUCUGACCCGCACGAAUGGCGUAACGAUUUGGGCGCUGUCUCAACGAGAGAUCCGGUGAAAUUUUAAUACCUGUGAAGAUGCAGGUUACCCGCGACAAGACGGAAAGACCCCAUGGAGCUUUACUGCAACUUGAUAUUGAACUGGGGUGCGAUUUGUACAGGAUAGGUGGGAGCCGUAGAAACCGGAGCGCAAGCUUCGGUCGAGGCGCCGUUGGGAUACCACCCUGAUCGCAUUUGAGUUCUAACCUCGUACCGUGAUCCGGUACAGGGACCGUGUCAGGUGGGCAGUUUGACUGGGGCGGUCGCCUCCUAAAGUGUAACGGAGGCGCCCUAAGGUUCCCUCAGAAUGGUUGGAAAUCAUUCGAAGAGUGUAAAGGCAUAAGGGAGCUUGACUGCGAGACAGACACGUCGAGCAGGGACGAAAGUCGGGCUUAGUGAUCCGGUGGUACCGCAUGGAAGGGCCAUCGCUCAACGGAUAAAAGCUACCCUGGGGAUAACAGGCUUAUCUCCCCCAAGAGUCCACAUCGACGGGGAGGUUUGGCACCUCGAUGUCGGCUCAUCGCAUCCUGGGGCUGAAGUAGGUCCCAAGGGUUGGGCUGUUCGCCCAUUAAAGCGGUACGCGAGCUGGGUUCAGAACGUCGUGAGACAGUUCGGUCCCUAUCUGUCGUGGGCGUAGGAAAUUUGAGAGGAGCUGUCCUUAGUACGAGAGGACCGGGAUGGACGCACCGCUGGUGUACCAGUUGUUCCGCCAGGAGCAUCGCUGGGUAGCUACGUGCGGAAGGGAUAAGCGCUGAAAGCAUCUAAGCGUGAAGCCCCCCUCAAGAUGAGAUUUCCCAGUAUGUAAGACCCCUUGUAGACGACGAGGUUGAUAGGUUGGGGGUGGAAGUGCCG
This 1391-nucleotide ribosomal RNA is filed under the name Paenibacillus sp. CFBP13512. RNAcentral describes it as "partial 23S ribosomal RNA". It matches the Rfam family "Bacterial large subunit ribosomal RNA", at positions 1483 to 2878 of the family's 2925-position model. The record is from RNAcentral. Lineage: Bacteria; Bacillati; Bacillota; Bacilli; Caryophanales; Paenibacillaceae.